This 7907-nucleotide long non-coding RNA is filed under the name Brassica napus (rape). RNAcentral describes it as "long non-coding RNA (BNAP_LNC022605)". The record is from RNAcentral. Lineage: Eukaryota; Viridiplantae; Streptophyta; Magnoliopsida; Brassicales; Brassicaceae.
UAACUAUGUGCAUUUAAUAAUGAAACUACACUCCUUGUUAUUAAGUUGUAAACCAGAUGUCUUUUUAGAUUUGUGCAGACUUAGACAUCUUUAGACAUCUUUAAGAAAUACGAGAUGGAUUUUGGUUGAAGAAAUACGAGAUGGAUUUUGGUUGAAGAAAUACGAGAUGGAUUUUGGUUGAAGAAAUGCUUGCCAGAUUUUUUCUCAUUGUUGGUCAGUGCACAAGAUAUAUUCUCCCCGAGAUGUAUUCAAGAGAUCAAGUUUUGAAAUAAUUCAGAAAUGCUUACUCAAUUAAGUAGUGAUGGUUAUCAAUUUCUUGGCGUACAACAACAACAAAGAGAACAUGCUACUGAAUAGAUAACAACCAUUGCUUCAGAUAUGUAGAAGAAUUGUAUUAUUAGUUGAUCUCAAUGGUGAUAUAUGCAUGAGUAAGUGAACAUUUUAAUGUGUUUUUUUAUUUUUUAUGGUUGACAAUAGUAGUGUAAUCUCACAACAUAUUUUUUCUGAUAGGUGUGGAAUGAUUUAUGGCAUUGUUUCCUUGUUGGCAUGAUAUGUAAAAACAAUACUUGCCUAAAUUUUUUUUUUUUGAAACACAUACUCUUCUAAAUAUAUUACACUUUUAGCGUGGUUUCGAUAGAUUGUUGUUAGAAAAUGUUUUUUUUUUUUAAAGAUCUUAGGAAAUCUAUUUUUUUUUUUUUAAACUCUACCAAAUCUCCUAUCAAAAUCCUUAAACUCCAAAUAAAUUUAGCUAAAUUCCAUCAAAUCUAAAAUCCUUAAAAAAAUUCAUAUCCCUAAUCAAAUAAGCCCUUUAAUAUAUUUGACGUAUAUUUAGUACCAAAUGGUUAUGUAUUUAAAACAUCCAACAGUUAAUUCAACAAAAUAAACUUAAUUUACAUCAAUUUUUAUCCCUUUCGUUCUUUGCUAAAAUUUGAUAAUCUACUUACAAGUUUGUCAUUUUACUCAGAUAAUAGUCCCUUGUUAUUUACAAAACUAACUUUAUGAAAAUAUAACGACCAAUCACAAUUCUGAUACUGAUUUAGCUAAAGUAACUGAGAGCCCACGGAAUUCACCCCACCUAACCUCUCUUAAAAUAUCAAGAUAUUAAAGAAAAGAAAAUGUAUACGUGACUCUUCUUUACAAAGGCUAUAUAAACCCUAGACUGGCACAAGGUUCCAUCCAACACAAACACAUACAUCUACUUAUUAACCAUGAAGCUUCAUGGACUAGCCUUGAUAGGUUAUCUAAUUGCUGUGGUGAGUUGCAAAGCUAUUGAGGAAUGCCAAGAGAACGAGCCAUUCACAUGUAGAAACACUGAUCAGUUAAGCAGUAAAAAUUUCCCAAAAGACUUCAUAUUCGGUGUUGCUUCUGCUGCUUACCAGGCAUGUUACAAACCAACAAUUUUUGACGUAGAAAACCAUUUAAAAUAUUAAAUCCAACGUUGCAUGGUUGUUUCUUAUUAUUGUAGGUGGAAGGGGGCAGAGGACGUGGUCUUAACGUUUGGGAUGGCUUCACUCACCGAUACCCAGGUAUAUCAUCUACAUGGUACAUAUAUAUAUACAUAUGUCCACAACUCUUAUCAUUCUUAGUAAUGUAUUUGUUUACUAUCAGAGAAGGGAGGAUCCGAUCUUGGGAAUGGAGACACUACUUGUGAGUCAUACACGAGAUGGCAGGUUAGUUCCUCACUGAGUCAUAGACCAGAUGGCAGGUUAAUUCCUCAUUUCCUCACUGUGUAUAAUGAUAUCCGAGUGCGUAUGUAAACUGCAGAAAGAUAUAGACAUCAUAGACGAACUCAAUGCUACUGGCUACAGAUUCUCAUUUGCCUGGUCAAGAAUCAUUCCAAGUAUGAACACAUAAACAAUCUAUUUAUACAAAAGAAUUCUCGUAAUUUGAUUGUGAUUGUUGGGAAGAUUAAAUAUAUGAUAUGUAUACAUGAGCAGAAGGAAAGGUGAGUAGGGGAGUGAACAAAGGAGGUCUCGAAUACUACCACAAACUCAUAGAUGGCCUCAUCGCGAAGAAUAUAACCCCUUUUGUUACCCUCUUUCACUGGGACCUUCCUCAAACACUGCAAGACGAGUAUGAAGGUUUCUUGAACCGCACCGUCAUGUAUGUCAUUUGUGCCGCGUUCUUAGCAUGGAAAAUAAUAAGAAAAACAUAUAUAUAAUUGAUCUCAUGUUAAUGAUUUGAUUCUAUGCUUUUCACAGAGAUGACUUUAGAGAUUAUGCGGAUCUAUGUUUCAAGGAAUUUGGUGGAAAGGUGAAGAACUGGAUCACGAUCAACCAGCUGUACACAGUGCCUACGAGAGGCUAUGCAAUCGGAACAGAUGCACCCGGUCGAUGUUCUCCGGAGGUUGAUGAGAAAUGUUACGGCGGAAAUUCUUCAACAGAACCUUAUAUAGUUGCACAUAACCAGCUUCUUGCUCAUGCUGCGGCGGUCGAUGUUUACAGGACAAAAUAUAAGGUGAGAGAGUAUAUGGGUUUGUGAAUAUAUAGGUGUAGUCUUACGUAUAUAUAUGACUAUAUCUAAUCAUAUCAUUAUGGUAUGCCGUGACCAACAGUUCCAAAAAGGGAAGAUCGGACCAGUGAUGAUAACCAGAUGGUUUCUUCCAUUUGAUAAGACUGACCAAGCCAGCAGAGAUGCAGCUAAUAGGAUGAAAGAAUUCUUCUUGGGAUGGUAACGUAUAUGUAUGUAUAUAUCAACAAAAAAUGAAAUGAUUUUCUUAUACGUAUGUUCAUCGAUCAGGUUCAUGGAGCCGCUAACAAAGGGUAGAUACCCAGACAUCAUGAGGGAAAUUGUGGGUAGUCGGCUUCCCAAUUUCACGGAAGCAGAAGCGGAACUCGUUGCGGGUUCAUAUGAUUUUCUUGGUCUCAACUACUACACCACUCAGUACGCCCAGCCAAAACCUAACCCAGUUACAUGGGCAAAUCACACUGCCAUGAUGGACCCAGGCGCAAAGCUCACAUGUACCACUCUGUUUCCUCUUAUAGUUACAACCUUUCUAUAUAUAUAUGUUUCUAACUCUUUUUAAUUAAAGUAUAUACUUUGUGAGUGACCACCAAUUAUUUCAUCCUUGGGUUUACAGAUAACAAUUCCCGUGGUGAAAAUCUUGGUCCACUGGUAUGUGCAUGAUCCUCCCCUGUUACUUCUCAAUAUUUUUUUCUUUCUUGUUUAUGGGUAUAAUAUGUAUGCUUCCUUUUCUCAGUUCGUUAAAGACGAAAAAAACGGGAAUGCCUAUUACUACCCAAAAGGCAUUUAUUACGUUAUGGACUACUUCAAAAACAAAUACAAUAACCCUUUGAUCUAUAUCACUGAGAACGGUGACUACUACUCAUCUCUUUUUCCAUAUUAAGUAAAUGUGUGUUUCAAAUAAUGUACAGUUGAAAAAACAAAAAUGUACAGUUGUUGAUGUACCAUGAUGGUCUAAUUAGGAUUUAGUACUCCCGGUGAAGAAACCCGUGAGGAAGCUGUUGCUGAUUCCAAGCGGAUCGAUUAUCUCUGCAGUCAUCUAUGUUUUCUCCGCAAGGUCAUCAGGUGAGUGGAAGCUACUUUAUUUUUUUCUCUUUUGAAUUUGAUGUAUGGUCAUCAUCAUGCACAGGCUUUGAAUUAUGAUUUUUUCUGUUUCCAGGGAGAAGGGUGUCAACAUAAAAGGAUACUUUGCAUGGGCUCUUGGAGAUAAUUAUGAAUUCUGCAAAGGUUUUACCGUUAGAUUCGGACUUAGUUACGUUAACUGGACAGACCUCAAUGAUAGAAAUCUCAAAAAAUCUGGCAAAUGGUACCAAAGCUUUAUUAACGGUACCACUAAGAACCCUGCCAAACAAGAUUUCCGCCGCCCAAACCUCUCCCUCCGCAACCAGAAGAAGAACCUCGCAGAUGCAUGAAACACUUUAUCCCACCUUCAUGAUCAUCUUCAUAUCUCUACUACUUGCUUCAUAGAAAAGGGGCUUAUUGUACUAAAUAAAUAUUCCAAUAAAAGAUGAUCAUUUUUACUAAUGAAUAUUUUAGUUUGAGUUCAAUCCCUUCUUACCGCUUCAGUUACGUUUUACUUUGGAUGAUUAGUGAUGUAGAGUGAGCUACGAUGACACUAGAAUAUUCUUUAGUCAGAGAAUUCCUAUGAUGAAUGUCUUAUUUUAAUCGUUGAAAACACCAAGGAUUAAAGAACACCAAUGUAGUGAAGAUGGACGUUUAAGGGGAGAAGGAGGCUGAAGUGGAGGAUGAGAUUGAACUGAAAAUGAAGGUUGCAUGGGAGGUUCAAGAGGCAAAGGGUGAUACAAAAUGUUGUAGAUCAAAUGUUAGUAAACCCGCAUGAAGCAAAAUUACUGGCUCUCCCUCACGGUUUGCGAUCUUUGAAGAAGAUGAAGGAGAAGGAAAUAGUUUGGCAGUACAAAUAGACACAGAUAGUUAUUCAAAUUUCCACUUAACUUGAAAGAGAAGAAGGGGAGACUGAACAUGUGUCAGUCAGUCAAACGAUGGAGGAAGAAAUCCAAAAGGAGAAACACGAGGAGAAACAGCUUAUCUCAUAUUUUCAUCGAAAUGUAAAAACAAAAAAUUCAGAUUGUUUUGAUUCAAACACUGCAAAUGCAAAGGAUCUAGCUCCUAGCGUAGCAGGUAGAAGAAGAAUCACCCAGAAGAAAUAAUCAUGUCAGCUUUGUGUUGGGUUCCUCCUAGUGGGGAAACCCAAUGGUGUGAUUGUGGUGAAAAUGAGAAGUUAAUCUAGAGGAUCAAAGUGACCACUUGAGAAAUUCAUCUUGAGCAAACUUUGAUGCUCUAGGUAACACAAUCACAUAUUUUAAGUUUGGGCCAAUGAUAUUUAUCCAUGAGAUGGUAUUGGGCAUUGGUGGGUUAGUGAGACAGGACUAUAUAACCUAAUUUUGUGGUAAGCUAAGCAAAAAGAAAGCAAGAACUAAGAAAAGGAAGCACAAGAGAGAAAGGAGAUAAAGAGGAAAGUCGUCUUGGUUUGUCAAGGCAGGGUUUGGAGGGUCAAACGGAUCCUGAUCUGGCUGAUACUUUGUGGGAAGCUUCGUCAUUCAGUUGGUUAGAGGUUCACCAAAGGGAUUUGGAUUUCAACGGUUGGAUCUUCUGAGAUAUGGGUUUUAGUGAAGCUGGUUGUCAGUAUUUUUCAGCAGUUCUGUCUUGAGUGUUUGGUAAAUUUGACGGUGAGGUCUUCUCUGUUUUGAGCUGGGAUUUGGCAGAGGUACUACUGGGUUGUUGCUGCUGGUCUUGAAGCUUUGUGUUGCUCUCUUGUGGUUGUGUUCUUGUGUUGGAGAUAGCUUUUGUAGCUGAGUCUCUGUUCUGUUCAGGUUGUUGAACAGGGAGGACGUGGUUGUACUCACAUACAUUUAUAUAGUGGAUUGUUGAGUGGACUACGGUCCCGUGGUUUUUUUCUUCUCACAUCGAGUAGGUUUUCUACGUAAAAAGUGUUUGUCUCAUUUAGUUAUUGCUUAUACUAUAUCCUGCUAUCUUCGAAGUAUUUUCCUCUCAGAUUCUCACAAGGUCAGGGGGAACACGAUAGUACAUUCCGCUGCACUGUGUGUUUUAACCCCAUCAAAGUGGUAUCAGAGCUUUUGGUUUUAGAGCUUUGGGGUUGAUAACUUCGGGUUAUGGUUGCUUGUGAGAAUGAUGGAAAAUACGAGCAGGGUGAUAAGCUUGAAUGGUGCUAAAUAUCAUCUAUGGAAGGGUAAGAUGGAGGAUUUUCUCUUUGUUAAAGAAUUCCAUUUUCAAGUCUUCGAGGAGAAGAAAUCUGAGAAGAAGACGGAUAAAGAGUGGAAGCUUCUGCAUCGCCAAGUGUGUGGGUUGAUAAGGCAGUGGGUAGAUGAUAAUGUGUUGCAUCAUAUUGAGACUGAGACGGAUGCUCGUUCUUUGUGGAAGAAGCUGGAGCAGUUGUAUGCAAGGAAGACCGGAAACAACAAGAUGUACAUGAUCAAGAAGUUGAUUGAGCUGAGGUAUCAGGAGGAAACUCCGAUGACGGGUCACUUGAAUCGUUUUAGGGAUUGCUCAACAAGCUGUCUGAUAUGGGCAUCAAGUUUGAUGAUGAGAUUCACGGUCUAUGGCUUCUCGGUACUUUACUGGAUUCUUGAGAGGUUUUUAGGAUGUCUCUUUGUAACUCCGUGUCGGAAGGUGUUAUUUCGAUGGAUUCAGUGAAGAACAGUGUUCUUAAUGAGGAAGCAAGAAGACAGUCGAACGCUAGCAGUUCGUGUUCAGAUGUCUUUGUUACUGAGUCAAGGGGGAGGAGUUCGAGUAGAGAUCCCAGAGAGACAAGAACAGGAGCAGGAGAAAAUCUAAUAAAUUUGCUAACAUGGAGUGCUAUUUCUGUCACAAGAAAGGGCACAUGAAGAAGGAUUGUUGGAAGUUGAAAAACAAGCAGCAAGGAAAUCAAGAAGAAAAAGUGGAUCGGGUGACUGUCACCGAAGAUCAGUUUUUCAUUCUUCUUGAGGGUGAUGCCAUUAAUGUUGCAUGCCAAAACACCAGUUGGGUGAUUGAUAGUGGAGCUACUACUCAUGCAACAUCACAGCGGGAUUUGUUUUCUACCUAUACUACGGGUAAUUAUGGUUCCGUGAAGAUGGGAAAUGAUGCAAUGGCUCAGGUUGCUGGCAUUGGCGAUAUAUGCUUGGAGACUAGUCUUGGGACUAGGUUGAUGCUUAAGGAUGUUAAGCAUGUCCCUGAUAUUAGGAUGAAUCUGAUAUCAACGGGAAGGCUUGAUGAUGAGGGUUAUUUCAGUUUGCACGGUGGUGGUAAAUGGAAGCUCUCUCGCGGUGCUUUGAUUGUGGCUCGAGGUGAGAAAUCCUCAUCCUUCUAUUAGAUGCAGGCUAAGGUCUCCAAAGACGCUGUUAAUGCGGUGGAGAAUGAUGGUGCCAUGGAGUUAUGGCAUAAGAGACUCGGUCACAUGAGUGAGAAGGGAAUGUCUGUGUUGUCUAAGAAUGAGGUGAUUCCAGGAAUCUGUGGUUUGCACCUGCAGAAGUGAUCGCAUUGCUUUGCGGGAAAACAACACAAGGUGUCUUUCAAGUCUUAUGCGCCUUCUAGGAAACCCGAGGUACUCGAUUUGGUACAUUCAGAUGUGUGUGGUCCAAUGAAGACAAGAUCCAUUUGCAGCGCAUCAUAUUUUGUGACUUUCAUUGAUGAUCAUUCAAGGAAGUUGUGGUUAUUUCCUAUGAGGACGAAGGAUCAGGUGCUGGGAUAUUUCAACCAUUUUGUGGCGUUGGUAGAGAGACAAACGGGAAAGAAGCUGAAGUGUAUCCGCAGUGAUAAUUGUGGAGAGUAUUCUGGACCAUUUGAUGCUUAUUGUAAAGAGCAUGGAAUAAGACAUCAGUUCACGCCACCAUGAUGAUCUAAUUAGGAUUUAGUACUCCCGGUGAAGAAACCCGUGAGAAAGCUGUUGCUGAUUCCAAGCGGAUCGAUUAUCUCUGCAGUCAUCUAUGUUUUCUCCGCAAGGUCAUCAGGUGAGUGGAAGCUACUUUAUUUUUUUCUCUUUUGAAUUUGAUGUAUGGUCAUCAUCAUGCACAUGCUUUGAAUUAUGUUUUUUUUUUCUGUUUCCAGGGAGAAGGGUGUCAACAUAAAAGGAUACUUUGCAUGGGCUCUUGGAGAUAAUUAUGAAUUCUGCAAAGGUUUUACCGUUAGAUUCGGACUUAGUUACGUUAACUGGACAGACCUCAAUGAUAGAAAUCUCAAAAAAUCUGGCAAAUGGUACCAAAGCUUUAUUAACGGUACCACUAAGAACCCUGCCAAACAAGAUUUCUGCCCCCCAAACCUCUCCUUCCAGAACCAGAAGAAGAAGCUCUCAGAUGCAUGAAACACUUUAUCCCACCAUCAUGAUCAUCUUCAUAUCUCUACUACUUGCUUCAUAGAUAAGGGGCUUGUUGUACUAAAUAAAUAUUCCAAUAAAAGAUGAUCAUUUUUACUAAUGAAUAUUUUAGUUU